GUGGGGUCGGACCGGAGCGAAGCUCUGUAGCGCUGAGCGAUCGCGGCCAAAAACGGGGCUGGAGGAGCCACAUAAGCUAGGAAGGGACCUCAGUGAGGAGAGGGAGCAAGAGCGGGGCGAGUUAGAUGGGGAGCCAAAGCCGAGGCCUGCCUGGAGCCCCAGAUCACCCCUUCCUACUACACCACUUCUGACGCUGUCAUUUCCACUGAGACCGUCUUCAUUGUGGAGAUCUCCCUGACAUGCAAGAACAGGGUCCAGAACAUGGCUCUCUAUGCUGACGUCGGUGGAAAACAAUUCCCUGUCACUCGAGGCCAGGAUGUGGGGCGUUAUCAGGUGUCCUGGAGCCUGGACCACAAGAGCGCCCAUGCAGGCACCUAUGAGGUUAGAUUCUUCGACGAGGAGUCCUACAGCCUCCUCAGGAAGGCUCAGAGGAAUAACGAGGACAUUUCCAUCAUCCCGCCUCUGUUUACAGUCAGCGUGGACCAUCGGGGCACUUGGAACGGGCCCUGGGUGUCCACUGAGGUGCUGGCUGCGGCGAUCGGCCUUGUGAUCUACUACUUGGCCUUCAGUGCGAAGAGCCACAUCCAGGCCUGACGGCGGCACCCCAGCCCUGCCCUUGCUUCCUUCAAUAAACAUCACAGGACCUGGGACUGCACAG
RNAcentral lists this small RNA (658 nucleotides) under Pan troglodytes (chimpanzee). Its description in RNAcentral is "processed transcript". The record is from RNAcentral. Lineage: Eukaryota; Metazoa; Chordata; Mammalia; Primates; Hominidae.